This 334-nucleotide unclassified non-coding RNA is filed under the name soil metagenome. RNAcentral describes it as "partial contains 5.8S ribosomal RNA, internal transcribed spacer 2, and large subunit ribosomal RNA". The stretch from base 1 to 120 matches the Rfam family "5.8S ribosomal RNA", at positions 35 to 154 of the family's 154-position model. The record is from RNAcentral.
GAUGAAGAACGCAGCGAAAUGCGAUAAGUAAUGUGAAUUGCAGAAUUCAGUGAAUCAUCGAAUCUUUUAACGCACAUUGCGCCCGCCAGUAUUCUGGCGGGCAUGCCUGUUCGAGCGUCAUUUCAACCAUCAAGCCCCCGGCUUGUGUUGGGGACCUGCGGCUGCCGCAGGCCCUGAAAUGCAGUGGCGGGCUCGCUGUCACUCCGAGCGUAGUAGUUACAUCUCGCUCUGGGCGUGCUGCGGGUUCCGGCCGUUAAAAGCCUUAUUUACCCAAGGUUGACCUCGGAUCAGGUAGGAAGACCCGCUGAACUUAAGCAUAUCAAUAAGCGGAGGA